This is a long non-coding RNA of Neodiprion fabricii, 554 nucleotides long. RefSeq lists it as uncharacterized. The record is from RefSeq and is a predicted model, not a curated record. The transcript has 3 exons. NCBI's taxonomy places the organism in Eukaryota, Metazoa, Arthropoda, Insecta, Hymenoptera, Diprionidae.
CGUUGAUUUUACCGACGGACGGGAACAGCUCGGCAGUCCGCAUGCGAUCGACGGACGCUUACCCUCCUGAAGCAGAACCUUGUACAACCAUCAGUCGUGCGAAGCUUGAGAUGAUACGACGUUAUCCAGUAACGUUAAAACGAGAAUUAAUUUCCGGGUGUCGUAGAUCGAGAAGAAAAGCUAUGAAUCUAUGUUCCGAUCUACCGAUGAAACUUUUGGAUGAACAGCGUCAUGAUAAUCAUGAAAUAUAGGAAAUUCUGGUUGUACGUUAGACAUACCGAGAAGAAAGUAUGAUUAGCAGGAGUGAAAAUAUUAUCGAGAGCUAAUCACAUUUCCCACUAAUUGAGGCGCAGAAGAACGCGAGACAGCUAUAAUGACAACGGUUGAAGGAAUUCAACAAGACGUCUUGUUAGCUUUCUUGUAUGAUGUCGGAUUGUGAUUCAAGAUGAUCUGGUUACACGUUUACAUGGAAAUUGUUGAAGCACAGCUGUAACUAAGUCCGUUGAAUUUAUUGUAAGGCCUGGAACUUCACGUCUCGAAAUCAAUUUGAUGGA